Molecule: ribosomal RNA, 502 nt
Filed under: uncultured bacterium
Lineage: Bacteria
Description: partial 16S ribosomal RNA
Rfam family: Bacterial small subunit ribosomal RNA
Source: RNAcentral
ACUCAAAUGAAUUGACGGGGGCCCGCACAAGCGGUGGAGCAUGUGGUUUAAUUCGACGCAACGCGAAGAACCUUACCAGGGCUUGACAUGCCGGUAGUACCAACCUGAAAGGGAAGGGAGCCCGCAAGGGAAGCCGGCACAGGUGGUGCAUGGCUGUCGUCAGCUCGUGUCGUGAGAUGUUGGGUUAAGUCCCGCAACGAGCGCAACCCUCACCCUCUGUUGCCAUCGGGUCAUGCCGGGCACUCUGAGGGAACUGCCCCGGUCAACGGGGAGGAAGGCGGGGACGACGUCAAGUCAUCAUGCCCCUUACGCCCUGGGCUACACACGUGCUACAAUGGCCGGUACAGAGGGCUGCAAACCCGCGAGGGGGAGCUAAUCCCACAAAGCCGGUCUAAGUUCGGAUUGCAGGCUGCAACUCGCCUGCAUGAAGGAGGAAUCGCUAGUAAUCGCGCAUCAGCACGGCGCGGUGAAUACGUUCCCGGGCCUUGUACACACCGCCCGU